CCGGCUGCAGCCGCACCAGCCCCGCGCGGGCAGGGCGCGGGGGCGGUGCUCAGGAGGCUGGGGCUCAGCCCCCGGCUCGGUGGCUGAUAGCUCCGGAUCGAUUUUCCCUUCCCUUCCCCGCCCCCUGACCGCCUUUCCAUAUGGCGUGCGGUGGCAGCGCGCUUCUUGGGCCACCCUAGUCUUGGUACCUGGAGAGGACAAGCUGCAGGGGUCCUCCCAGCCCCAACCCACAGGCCGAAGGAAAAGCGGAGGCCAGCACGUUUGGCAGCCGCCUCCGGGUCUGCCUGGAGGUGGACUUGCUGGAGUCAGGUUGGGGCCGAGAGAACCUGGGAGCAAACGCUAGCUCCCCAGAGGGCCGUGUGGGGGCGGGGUCAGGACGGCAAACCGUUUAUUGCCUAACUCAGUGGUUGGUAGCUGCGAGCCGUGAUGGGCUAGCGUCUGCGUCCUGCCGCUCCCACCCCAGCUCGUUCCUGAGAGAAGGCGAAUUGGGGCAACUUGAUCUGAGUUGAGCGGCCCCAGGGCAAGGCAUUGUCUCUGGAGAUACUUGGGGUCAGUCAUUGGGGCUCCAUGCUUAGCCACCGAGGCGCGCGUCCCAGGCGCUGUGUGCCGGGUGCACGCUCCGCCACGAGCCCUGGGCUCGGAGCUGGCGACAGGACCCGGGCACAGUGGCCGGUGGCAGGAAGAGCCAAAGGCAUCCUGUAUUAGCUCACUCAGGAAUCCUAAGCCCUGAAACAGCGCCCUUUUACUCACUUCAUCAGACAAGCAGAGGCCAGCCAGGGUGACAGGGGUUGUGAUGGCAGGUCUUGGAACUUGGUGGCAACAUUCGUGAGGCUGUGAGUGCCUCAAAGGCUGUCUGACUCACCAUCAUUUUCCAGCACUGGCAUGGUCCCUGGCAUAGGGUAAGAGCUCAGAAAAUAUUAAAUGAAUGAAUGAGUGGGAAGCUUGGCCUGAGGGUGGAGGUGCUGGUGUUCCAGUUAGAAUCAUCAUGUUUCCCUCCGAGCAUCCGUUCUGAAGCUGCCCUGUUCCAAGGCCAUGUUCUGUCUUCUCCAGCCCUUUCUCAAUUGUGGCACAUCACCCAGCUCUUACAGAAGGAAGCCUAGAAUUUCCAGUUUUUUUUUUCCCCUCCCAU
Molecule: long non-coding RNA, 1129 nt
Organism: Camelus dromedarius (Arabian camel)
Lineage: Eukaryota; Metazoa; Chordata; Mammalia; Artiodactyla; Camelidae
Exons: 3
Source: RefSeq, a predicted model, not a curated record